This 458-nucleotide ribosomal RNA is filed under the name uncultured bacterium. RNAcentral describes it as "partial 16S ribosomal RNA". The record is from RNAcentral.
CACCUUACCUUCCCCGUUGGUUGUCGUCCGUUCGCCCCUACCCGAACCGGACCCGGGCCCGGUCCGGUACCGGUACGGUCGACGAAGGAAGGAAAGGGUAAAGGGUAAGGGUUAACCUUACCUAGUUGGUUAGUACGGGUCGGGUAAAGUAAAAGUGGCCGACAAGGAAGUAAUUAGUGGGAAAGGAAACCCAACCAGGUUCGGUAACGGAAGGGACCGUUACCUUUUCGUUCGGUUCGUUAAGUUAAAGUAGGACCGUCGUAGAUUGGUCGGAACGAAACGGCGUUGGUAGGUAUAACAAACGAGUAGUUAGUAACCUACCGUAGGUACGUACCACCGAACCGUAAAGUAUAGAGUGUACUAGUUGGUAGGGGUUUCCCGCCCCUUUAGUGCUGCAGCUAACGCAUUAAGCACUCCGCCUGUGGAGUACGACCGCAAGGUUGAAACUCAAAGGAAUU